UCCAGAUUGGUGUAGGGGUUAACAUCGUCCGCUUUCACUCUCAUUUGUGGGUUUCCGGACAGCCCCGGGUUCGAUUCCCGGAUCUGGAA
Molecule: transfer RNA, 89 nt
Filed under: Heterodermia speciosa
Lineage: Eukaryota; Fungi; Ascomycota; Lecanoromycetes; Caliciales; Physciaceae
Description: tRNA-Glu
Rfam family: tRNA
About the family: Transfer RNA (tRNA) molecules are approximately 80 nucleotides in length. Their secondary structure includes four short double-helical elements and three loops (D, anti-codon, and T loops). Further hydrogen bonds mediate the characteristic L-shaped molecular structure. tRNAs have two regions of fundamental functional importance: the anti-codon, which is responsible for specific mRNA codon recognition, and the 3' end, to which the tRNAs corresponding amino acid is attached (by aminoacyl-tRNA synthetases). tRNAs cope with the degeneracy of the genetic code in two manners: having more than one tRNA (with a specific anti-codon) for a particular amino acid; and 'wobble' base-pairing, i.e. permitting non-standard base-pairing at the 3rd anti-codon position.
Source: RNAcentral